Molecule: ribosomal RNA, 253 nt
Filed under: uncultured bacterium
Lineage: Bacteria
Description: partial 16S ribosomal RNA
Rfam family: Bacterial small subunit ribosomal RNA
Source: RNAcentral
UACGUAGGGGGCGAGCGUUGUCCGGAAUUAUUGGGCGUAAAGAGCUCGUAGGCGGCCUGUUGCGUCUGCUGUGAAAACCCGGAACUUAACCCCGAAUCUGCAGUGGAUACGGGCAGGCUAGAGUUCGGCAGGGGAGACUGGAAUUCCUGGUGUAGCGGUGAAAUGCGCAGAUAUCAGGAGGAACACCGGUGGCGAAGGCGGGUCUCUGGGCCGAUACUGACGCUGAGGAGCGAAAGCGUGGGGAGCGAACAGG